RNAcentral lists this ribosomal RNA (1464 nucleotides) under metagenome. RNAcentral describes it as "bacterial SSU rRNA". It matches the Rfam family "Bacterial small subunit ribosomal RNA". The record is from RNAcentral.
AGAGUUUGAUCCUGGCUCAGGACGAACGCUGGCGGCACGCCUAACACAUGCAAGUCGAACGGAGAUGAUUUGAGUUUACUUAGAUCAUCUUAGUGGCGGACGGGUGAGUAACACGUGAGCAACCUGCCUUUGAGAGAGGGAUAGCUUCUGGAAACGGAUGGUAAUACCUCAUAACAUACAGAUACCGCAUGGUGACUGUAUCAAAGAUUUAUCACUCAAAGAUGGGCUCGCGUCUGAUUAGAUAGUCGGUGAGGUAACGGCUCACCAAGUCGACGAUCAGUAGCCGGACUGAGAGGUUGAACGGCCACAUUGGGACUGAGACACGGCCCAGACUCCUACGGGAGGCAGCAGUGGGGAAUAUUGCACAAUGGGGGAAACCCUGAUGCAGCGAUGCCGCGUGGAGGAAGAAGGUUUUCGGAUUGUAAACUCCUCUCUUAAAGGACGAUAAUGACGGUACUUUAGGAGGAAGCUCCGGCUAACUACGUGCCAGCAGCCGCGGUAAUACGUAGGGAGCGAGCGUUGUCCGGAAUUACUGGGUGUAAAGGGAGCGUAGGCGGGACGGCAAGUCAGAUGUGAAAUACAUGGGCUCAACCCAUGGGCUGCAUUUGAAACUGCUGUUCUUGAGUGAAGUAGAGGUAAGCGGAAUUCCUGGUGUAGCGGUGAAAUGCGUAGAUAUCAGGAGGAACACCGGUGGCGAAGGCGGCUUACUGGGCUUUUACUGACGCUGAGGCUCGAAAGCGUGGGGAGCAAACAGGAUUAGAUACCCUGGUAGUCCGCACGGUAAACGAUGGAUGCCCGCUAUUCGCCCACCUGGGCGAGUGGCCAAGCGAAAGCGUUAAGCAUCCCACCUGGGGAGUACGCCGGCAACGGUGAAACUCAAAGGAAUUGACGGGGGCCCGCACAAGCGGAGGAACAUGUGGUUUAAUUCGAUGAUACGCGAGGAACCUUACCCGGGCUUGAAUUGCAGAGGAAGGAUUUAGAGAUAAUGACGCCCUUCGGGGCCUCUGUGAAGGUGCUGCAUGGUUGUCGUCAGCUCGUGCCGUGAGGUGUCGGCUUAAGUGCCAUAACGAGCGCAACCCCUCUCCGUAGUUGCCAUCGGGUGAUGCCGGGCACUCUGCGGACACUGCCACCGUAAGGUGUGAGGAAGGUGGGGAUGACGUCAAAUCAGCACGGCCCUUACGUCCGGGGCUACACACGUGUUACAAUGGGGCAUACAGAGCGCCGGCGGCCGGCAACGUCCGUCCAAUCGCAAAAGUGUCCCCCAGUUCGGACUGGGGUCUGCAACCCGACCCCACGAAGCUGGAUUCGCUAGUAAUCGCGCAUCAGCCAUGGCGCGGUGAAUACGUUCCCGGGCCUUGUACACACCGCCCGUCAAGCCAUGAAAGCCGGGGGCGCCUGAAGUCCGUGACCGCAAGGGUCGGCCUAGGGCGAAACCGGUGAUUGGGGCUAAGUCGUAACAAGGUA